Molecule: non-coding RNA, 83 nt
Organism: Podarcis lilfordi (Lilford's wall lizard)
Lineage: Eukaryota; Metazoa; Chordata; Lepidosauria; Squamata; Lacertidae
Source: the annotation of a GenBank genome assembly
GUCAGGAUGGCCCAGCGAUCUCAGGCGCUGUGUUCAGAGUGCAGUCUCCCCUGGAAGUGUGGGUUUGAAUCCCACUUCUGACA